Non-coding RNA from Nannospalax galili (Upper Galilee mountains blind mole rat), 573 nucleotides. The record is from the annotation of a RefSeq genome assembly. NCBI's taxonomy places the organism in Eukaryota, Metazoa, Chordata, Mammalia, Rodentia, Spalacidae.
GGCAGUAGACCUCAGUGCAGAGAAUUCACUUCGGUAACAGUUGAAUGUGUAGGCUUAGGGAAGAAACAAGCUUUUCCCAUUGGCGAGUUCAACUCAAGAACUAGCCAUGUACUGAGAAAGAGGAAGCACCAGGCAGGAGCAGCUACCUGGCUGGAGAUCACAUUCUACUGCAGAGUUUCACUGGGAAGAGCAAUGAGGGCUUGUCAUCCCACUUUUGUCACAUUCCUGUGGCUGCAGCUGGACUGGGUGAGCCAAGGAGAGAAGGUGGUGCAAAGUCCUUCUGCCUUGAGUGUCCAGGAGGGGGACAGCAGUGAGAUCAACUGUACUUAUUCAGACAGUGGCUUGGACUACUUCCCUUGGUAUAAGCAAGAACCUGGAAAGGGUCCCCAACUCAUCAUUGACAUUCGUUCAAAUUCAGAGAGAAAACAAAACCAAAGACUCACUGUCUCACUGGAUAAGAAAGCCAAACACUUCUCCCUGCACAUUGUAGCCACCCAGCCUGGAGACACAGCCCUCUACUUCUGUGCAGCAAUCAUUGAGAACCCUGAUCUACGGUGGGGUAGACUUUUAUAG